Molecule: transfer RNA, 74 nt
Filed under: Haplopteris ensiformis
Lineage: Eukaryota; Viridiplantae; Streptophyta; Polypodiopsida; Polypodiales; Pteridaceae
Description: tRNA-Ala
Rfam family: tRNA
About the family: Transfer RNA (tRNA) molecules are approximately 80 nucleotides in length.
Source: RNAcentral
GGGGAUAUAGCUCAGUUGGUAGAGCGCCGCCCUUGCAAUGGCGGAUGCCAGCGGUUCGAGUCCGCUUAUCUCCA